RNAcentral lists this ribosomal RNA (248 nucleotides) under uncultured bacterium. RNAcentral describes it as "partial 16S ribosomal RNA". It matches the Rfam family "Bacterial small subunit ribosomal RNA", at positions 796 to 1041 of the family's 1533-position model. The record is from RNAcentral.
CACGCCCUAAACGAUGUUCACUCGUUUUUUGGAGUAUCGACCCUCCGAGAGACUAAGCUAACGCGAUAAGUGAACCGCCUGGGUAGUACGAUCGCAAGAUUAAAACUCAAAGGAAUAGACGGGGACUUGCACAAGCGGUGGAUUAUGUGGUUUAAUUCGUAGGUACACGAAGAACCUUACCAAGGCUAGACAUCCUGACGAAACUCUUAGGAAACUUUGAGCCCUCGCAAGAGCGGCAGGACAGGUGA